GCACAUAUACACCUAAAAGUAAUGCACAUGCCAUGCAUCCAUAUUUUUUUGCAUGUAAACAGGAUUUGUGACUUGAGAUUAUACAUAUUGAUACCAGUUUUUAUGAGGACCAAAGUAAGAAAUGCCUAUUCAUAUUUGUAAGGUCCAAGUAUAAGAAAUUCAAAAAUUAUAUUGUUACUGUUUAUGGGGGAUAGAAUAUACCCAUCAUUUGAUCUGCAUGUCAUAAGAGGCAAAUAAAGGGUCCCCAACUUUAAAGUAUAAGCUGUCAUGGUGAAAGGAUGAAUGGUGAAGGAUCAGAAGUCACUAAGAUGCCUGUCCAGAGCUCGACUCUCAGCAAAUGAGGAAAAUCUCUGGGACCUUGUGUGGAUACAGGCAACUGAUGCCCACAUCAACAUCUUUACCCUGCCAAUCCUCAAACCUGCUUGGAAAAAAAACAAAUUGAAACUCAAAAAUCUUAGCCCAACAAUAGUAACACGAAACCAUAAUAUAAAGUAGAAAAUGAAAUUAGCAUGCAGAAUAAUUAACUGCUGAUUAUGUGAAGUUUUUACUGUUUUAUUAAAAUAAAGAUUCUGAC
Molecule: long non-coding RNA, 574 nt
Filed under: Androctonus crassicauda
Lineage: Eukaryota; Metazoa; Arthropoda; Arachnida; Scorpiones; Buthidae
Source: RNAcentral